RNAcentral lists this ribosomal RNA (318 nucleotides) under Triticum aestivum (bread wheat). RNAcentral's name for it is "partial small subunit ribosomal RNA". The record is from RNAcentral. Lineage: Eukaryota; Viridiplantae; Streptophyta; Magnoliopsida; Poales; Poaceae.
AUGCAGAGAUGGGGAAAAAGAUGCUGGCGUGGGGCAUCGAACGGUUGUUGUAUGCUGAAUCUACGGUUGCGUGCGGACCGGCCCAAAUUUGGGCCGGCGCAUAGUGCUGCCCGAAAGAAAACUCACAACGCGCUGCCCCUCGAGCACUCCCGCUCCUACUCCCUCGAACCUCUCCCGCGGUUCUCCACUCUGGCCAAGGCGUCCACCCCCACCCGCCUUCGGUUGCUCCGACCUCGGCGGUCACCUUGCUCGCCACCGACCACCCUCCCCCCUCCCCCUCCCCGUCUUACGCUUCUCGACGGAGGGCAUGGCAGGUAG